CCUUCGAUAGCUCAGUUGGAAGAGCGUGGGACUGUAAUGGAAACGCUGCGAUCCCGAGGUCACUGGUUCGAUCCCGGUUCGAAGGA
Non-coding RNA from Russula earlei, 86 nucleotides. The record is from the annotation of a GenBank genome assembly. NCBI's taxonomy places the organism in Eukaryota, Fungi, Basidiomycota, Agaricomycetes, Russulales, Russulaceae.